Molecule: long non-coding RNA, 4354 nt
Organism: Ictalurus punctatus (channel catfish)
Lineage: Eukaryota; Metazoa; Chordata; Actinopteri; Siluriformes; Ictaluridae
Exons: 4
Source: RefSeq, a predicted model, not a curated record
AUACGCGCAAUUGUUUUAGUCGGUCCACAAGUGGUAAAGAAGAAGAAGAACGCCUACAAGCACACCGGAAAAACUACAGAAGUUUAGCUCCGCCCCGACUCGUUGAGAGGAAAUGUGGAACAUGAGCAUUCGAAGCAGGAGAAGAGAGCGCAAACAGGAGCUCAGACGACUGGAGCUAGAGAUGGUGAACAAACCCACUGAAGAUCUGCAUCUGCCAGAUCAGAAGGCAUGGCUCUGACAAGGACAGGACAGCGCUGAUGAGAAAGUCAAACUGGAAGAGUAAGAAUGAAGGAGAGAUUUACAGGAGAGUGAAAUGUUAUUAAGGAUUUCCUGUGAAGAAGCUCCUGACCUCUAAGGACCAAGGAGGAGAGAUGAGAUGUGGCAAGUGUCAACAAUAAAUGAUUGGAUAAAUGACUGUGGCAGCGGGGGCGUGGUCGAGCAUCAGCUGUGGACGGAGAGGAGCAGGUAGAAUCGGCAGGUAACGAGUGAUGAUUCUGAAUUGUGCAUUACCAGACCGAAUUUACUUGUGUGUCUGUUUGUGCUGUGGUGAGAGAGAGCGAGAGAGAGAGAUAGAUAGAGAGAUUGUGAUCGAGAUCUGAGCAGCACAGUACUGUGUGAAUAUACGUUCGCAGUAAAGUAAAGAUGGUUAAGUAAAUAAACAGCCCCUUUUGAGUCGUCAAGCCUCCGGUUUCUUCAUUUCCCUGUGUACAAAAAGGGAAUUGUUACAAUGACUUUUCUGACCAUAACUGCAAAAAUAAAUCUAAUCUUCUGUCCAAUCUUCACUCCAAUUGACGCGUUUUCUAUCACCAUUUGAAAUUUUUUACUUCCCCCUCAAACGCCGCAACUGCUGUUUACACAACACACAUGGUUUCUGUGACUGGAUGAUGCACGCGCUGCUCAAUUUCUGAUUGGGUGUCUGUUGCUAAGCGUCUAGCCGGAACAUUUUAACACUGCAUCACACUGUACACAUUUGGCACCACAUAAGCAGUGCUAACCCUGCUUUGGAGCAGGGUUCCUAACCCUGGGUAAACUGCUAUCCCCGCUUAUAAAUUAACAGAGUGAAAUCCAGGAUUAAAAGCGGGGUUUAGAAAGAUGAUAACCCGGGGUUAAGUGUAGUGUGAAAAGCCCUUUAGAACAAUAAACUCCAUGUUUUACUUUUUAUGUCCUAUGAAAGGAGGGUUUUUAUUUAUAUAAAAAUAAUUCAGGCUUAAGUUACAGUAGACAAAAACAAUCUAAAUUAAAGCUGCAAGCAGCGAUGAAUGGGCCCUUGCACCCUGGUGCACAUUGGGCCUGCUGUACCAGGGGAACACCAUUCCAUUUUUUUUACAUUCACUUCUGACGCGAAUGCAAAUUUUCAGGGGGUCUUCGAGUAUGUUUAGGCCCUCUAAAAUGCGAUUCAAAGGACUAUAUAAUAAAAAAUAAUAAAUAAUAAACAGAGGAACGGGGAAAAAUAAUAAAUGGAGCAGAUACAAUAGGGUCCUCACAUCAUCGGUGCUCGGGCCCUAAAGAUGCAGGACAUUUCUUUCAGUGACGACGCAAGAUAAAGCCAUUUGCAAUCCUCUUUGUAAACAGUCAUGUUCUCAUCAGUGAUGAAUAAAUACAGCACUAAUUUGCUGACAUCAAUCUACAACAUACUCACAUUUUCAGCUUUUCCGAGCAAAAAAAAUAAGAAACCAUAAACAGUUUGCACUUAGGAGACAAUGUAAUCCAUUCUGUUGCUGUCUCAUUUUGUAUUUACAGACCAAUAAAAAACACACCACAAGCCAAAUCUAUUUUGAUAUUACUGGAGAACAAGUAUGACUGUAUUGGUCUUAGUGGGAUCAACACCAUUACAAUUCAAUCUCUAAAAAAAAUAUACUGAAUAAACACUUUCGCUACCAGUGUGACAUUCUAUAUGGCCCUCGAAAACAAACUUUGAUCUUUAUGCAAUGAAUAAAAUAACAUCACAGCACGUAGCAGGUAUAUGCUAUUGGACAGAAUAACAGUACUUGGUGUCUGCUUCUGUGAGGUGAUUAAUUCUCCAAUGCUUUAGUGAUGGAGCAUUACAUACACAUUUUCACCCAGAUGGACUGACAUGUAAAGAAUGUCAUUGUGCUCAUACAAUUAAACAAUUAUGCUCUGGUCUGCAUUGCAUAGAUACAGUCCUGAGUGACAGAGCAUCUCUUGGGAAAUGGGUCAGUGGACCCCAGAAGAGUGACUAUGCCUCCAUACGCUCAUCUGCUAAAAAAGUAACUUAACAUUUAGAGACUGUGCGAAGCAUUAUUAUUCACAUUAAUGCACUUCUGAUUUUGUUUGCAUUGUGAGUCAAGGGGAGGAAUAAAUGCUAAACAUUUAGAUUUGCCUGCCUGGGUACAAAGACAUAAAAUAGAUAGAAAGUCUUAAUGGAUUGACAGCAGCAACAUAUUUCCAUUGAUCAUGCUGAAAGAAUCAAUAAUAUUCCUUUUAAGACAGUGUUGUACAUUCUUCAGCUUUUCAAGCUUCAGUAAUGUUUCAUUCACUGAACGCAUAUACCUUUCGGCCAAAUUAUGCAAUAAAAAAAAUUCUCCACAUGUAUAGCUACUAAAUAUUUGAUAAUAAACUGACCUAUAUGUUAAUGUGAUUUGGUAGUGUGCUGUAAGUGAGGGAUGAACACAGAGAGAGCAUUGUUCCUGUCCUGCUGUCAUAGAGAAUAGUCACUAGAGUUUAGCAAAGGCAAACUGUACAAAGUCCAAGAGCAGCUGGGGUAUGUGUGUGUACUAAACACGGAGACCUGGGCUUACCACAGCUCAACUGUGACUAACAGCAAGACAACUAAAAAAAGCAUGCAUAUUUCUAUAAAAAUUCUAGUAUUCUGUGUCUAAAGCUUUGUAGUUUAGAUAAGAAGUUUAAUUCCAUGAGUCUUGGCUAAUCUGAAGCAAUGAACAAUACAUGGAGGGAAUGUGUAGAACUGUUAGUGUAAUAAACUGACCUAUCUGAGCCCCAGCUUCCACUGAAUGAAUAUCCAAACAUUCAUAAAUCCAGCAUGAUAAUGCACUGAGUCACAAAGAAAAAGUCAUCCCAAACUGGGUUCCUGAACAUGACAAUGAGUUCAGUGCUCUUCAGUGGCCUUCCCAGUCACUGGCUCUGAACUCAGUAGAACAGCUUUGGGAUGAGGUAGAACGGGAGAUUCCCAGCAUGAAAGUACACCUGAAAAAUCUGCAGGGAUUGCGUGAUGCAAUCAUGUCAACAUGGACCAGAAUCUCAAGGAAUGUUUCCAAAAUCUUGUGGAAUGAUGAAGAACUGAGGCUGUUUCGAGAGCAAAGGGAGGCCCUAUCCAGUGUUAGUAUAGUGUUCCUAAUAAAGUGCUCAGUGAGUGCAGAAUUAAAGGAGGGCGUAUUGUCUUUUCCCCAUGACUGCAAGUAUGUAAUCACUCUGCAAUGUACUGUAUGUGAAUGUGAGCAGGUGUGUUUUGUCUCUGAGGCUUUAGGCAAAGUGGCACAGAACAGAGGCUCAACUAAGCAGCUGUGAGUCACCAGGGAACAACAAAAAAGGCUUUUAUUUGCUACCUGCUAUUCAGUCCUUUUUCUGAACCCUAUCUUCAGCUUUCCUCAGUGCCUACAGGGACAUGAAUCUCCUUUGGUGACCUCCAGCCUGCAAUCUCUCCUGGCUUACCGUCACUGUUCUACACCGCCAAAAUAACUCCAUAUAGGAAAAUGUGCGAUCAAAAACAGAAGACUUUUUACAUUUGGCGAUUCUGGUUUCAAAGCUAGAUAUUGGUUUGGUCUAAUUUCUAUAAUGUAGAACACAGAAUAAAAACAAGAUAAUAAUGUUAUAAAAUUAUAAAUAAAAGAAGGUUAUGGCAGUGGUGGCUCAACGAUUAAGGCUCUGAGUCACUGAUUAGAAGGUCGAGGGUACAAGCCCCAGAACUGCCAAACUGCCACUGCCCCUGCCCUCGAGCAAGGCCCUUAACCCUCUCUGCUCCAGGGGCACCAUAUCAUGGCUGACCCCACGUUCUGGCCUCAGCUUCCUAACAAGAUGGAUAUGUGGAAAAAGAAUUUGCUGUAAUUUAUGCGACAAAUAAAGGCUUCUUCUAAAAAAAUGAUGAGUGUUUUUAAUCACUCCCUUAUAGCACAGUUUAAAGUUGUCAAACACCAGUACAUGCUAGAUAUGCACAAUGAACAUGGGCCAAGAAACAGAACAAAAAACAAAAAAAACAUUUUGUACCAAAUGUUGACUGACAGUUGUGUUCAUGGGCAUAAUGAUUUGAGCAAAAAUAGUGCUUUUCAUCCAGGAGAUAUUAAAUGUGAAGGUAAAUAAAGGUGAUCCUAGAAUAAGAGGGAGAUUUAGAGGAAGAGUGAGUAAAAGAGAGAGAUGCAAUUACAUACAGGGACAGAGA